This 497-nucleotide ribosomal RNA is filed under the name uncultured bacterium. RNAcentral's name for it is "partial 16S ribosomal RNA". It matches the Rfam family "Bacterial small subunit ribosomal RNA", at positions 28 to 507 of the family's 1533-position model. The record is from RNAcentral.
GAUGAACGCUGGCGGCGUGCCUAAUACAUGCAAGUCGAGCGAACGGACGAGAAGCUUGCUUCUCUGAUGUUAGCGGCGGACGGGUGAGUAACACGUGGAUAACCUACCUAUAAGACUGGGAUAACUUCGGGAAACCGGAGCUAAUACCGGAUAAUAUUUUGAACCGCAUGGUUCAAAAGUAAAAGACGGUCUUGCUGUCACAUAUAGAUGGAUCCGCGCUGCAUUAGCUAGUUGGUAAGGUAACGGCUUACCAAGGCAACGAUGCAUAGCCGACCUGAGAGGAUGAUCGGCCACACUGGAACUGAGACACGGUCCAGACUCCUACGGGAGGCAGCAGUAGGGAAUCUUCCGCAAUGGGCGAAAGCCUGACGGAGCAACGCUGCGUGAGUGAUGAAGGUCUUCGGAUCGUAAAACUCUGUUAUUAGGGAAGAACAUAUGUGUAAGUAACUGUGCACAUCUUGACGGUACCUAAUCAGAAAGCCACGGCUAACUACGUG